This 282-nucleotide ribosomal RNA is filed under the name uncultured Lachnospiraceae bacterium. Its description in RNAcentral is "partial 16S ribosomal RNA". The stretch from base 44 to 282 matches the Rfam family "Bacterial small subunit ribosomal RNA", at positions 100 to 339 of the family's 1533-position model. Lineage: Bacteria; Bacillati; Bacillota; Clostridia; Lachnospirales; Lachnospiraceae. The record is from RNAcentral.
UGCUUUGAUGAAGUUUUCGGAUGGAUUUAAACAGCUUAGUGGCGGACGGGUGAGUAACGCGUGGGUAACCUGCCUCACACUGGGGGAUAACAGUUAGAAAUAGCUGCUAAUACCGCAUAAGCGCACGGUUCCGCAUGGAACAGUGUGAAAAACUCCGGUGGUGUGAGAUGGACCCGCGUCUGAUUAGGUAGUUGGUGGGGUAACGGCCUACCAAGCCGACGAUCAGUAGCCGACCUGAGAGGGUGACCGGCCACACUGGAACUGAGACACGGUCCAGACUCC